Molecule: long non-coding RNA, 336 nt
Filed under: Penaeus japonicus
Lineage: Eukaryota; Metazoa; Arthropoda; Malacostraca; Decapoda; Penaeidae
Description: uncharacterized LOC122263623
Source: RNAcentral
AGCGCUGGUAAUGGUGAGCUGGGGACGCUAACCGCUCCCCCUCUCCCACCGCCACCACGUCCACAGCCGCCGCCGCCGCCCACUCCGUUUCUUACCGCCGCCCAUCUGAGGAAGGACCCGACCUCGCCCACGCCAGCCGCGCAACACGGGCGGUCAGUCUAGUGCCCUCGUGCGUGCGGGCGUACUGCCUGUUGUCGCGGCUUAGGGCGUGUGUGAAGCGACGGAGCGAAGACGAGGCAAUGCCCCCUUUCGGUUAAUUGCAUUCGAGUGAUGUAGAAAAAAAAAUCCAGAUACAAGGAAAAAAAGAAAAGUAAAAAAAAUAUCUUGGACAAUUGA